RNAcentral lists this ribosomal RNA (491 nucleotides) under uncultured bacterium. Its description in RNAcentral is "partial 16S ribosomal RNA". It matches the Rfam family "Bacterial small subunit ribosomal RNA", at positions 29 to 506 of the family's 1533-position model. The record is from RNAcentral.
AGUGAACGCUGGCGGUAGGCCUAACACAUGCAAGUCGAACGGCAGCACAGUAAGAGCUUGCUCUUACGGGUGGCGAGUGGCGGACGGGUGAGGAAUACAUCGGAAUCUACUUUUUCGUGGGGGAUAACGUAGGGAAACUUACGCUAAUACCGCAUACGACCUACGGGUGAAAGCAGGGGAUCUUCGGACCUUGCGCGAUUGAAUGAGCCGAUGUCGGAUUAGCUAGUUGGCGGGGUAAAGGCCCACCAAGGCGACGAUCCGUAGCUGGUCUGAGAGGAUGAUCAGCCACACUGGAGCUGAGACACGGUCCAGACUCCUACGGGAGGCAGCAGUGGGGAAUAUUGGACAAUGGGCGCAAGCCUGAUCCAGCCAUACCGCGUGGGUGAAGAAGGCCUUCGGGUUGUAAAGCCCUUUUGUUGGGAAAGAAGAGCAGCAGGUUAAUACCCCGCUGUUCUGACGGUACCCAAAGAAUAAGCACCGGCUAACUUCGU